Molecule: non-coding RNA, 26 nt
Filed under: Cricetulus griseus (Chinese hamster)
Lineage: Eukaryota; Metazoa; Chordata; Mammalia; Rodentia; Cricetidae
Source: RNAcentral
UCUGAUUUUGCUAUCUCUUUCCGCAG